GAAAUCCGUUGAAUUUAGAAAUUGGGGGGGUUCAAGUCCCUUUAUCCCCA
RNAcentral lists this transfer RNA (50 nucleotides) under Aristolochia tricaudata. RNAcentral describes it as "partial tRNA-Leu". Lineage: Eukaryota; Viridiplantae; Streptophyta; Magnoliopsida; Piperales; Aristolochiaceae. The record is from RNAcentral.